AUACGUAGGUGGCGAGCGUUAUCCGGAUUUACUGGGUGUAAAGGGCGCGUAGGCGGGGAAGCAAGUCAGAUGUGAAAUCCAUGGGCUCAACUCAUGAACUGCAUUUGAAACUGUUUCUCUUGAGUGCCGGAGAGGUAGACGGAAUUCCUAGUGUAGCGGUGAAAUGCGUAGAUAUUAGGAGGAACACCAGUGGCGAAGGCGGUCUACUGGACGGUAACUGACGCUGAGGCGCGAAAGCGUGGGGAGCAAACAGGAUUAGAUACCCUGGUAGUCCACGCUGUAAACGAUGAAUACUAGGUGUGGGGGGACUGACCCCCUCCGUGCCGCAGUUAACACAAUAAGUAUUCCACCUGGGGAGUACGGCCGCAAGGCUGAAACUCAAAGGAAUUGACGGGG
RNAcentral lists this ribosomal RNA (396 nucleotides) under uncultured bacterium. RNAcentral's name for it is "partial 16S ribosomal RNA". It matches the Rfam family "Bacterial small subunit ribosomal RNA", at positions 523 to 918 of the family's 1533-position model. The record is from RNAcentral.